AUAAGCUAUUCUCUAUGUUGUGUUGAUCUCUAUACCCUCUUACAGAGCACUCGAUUUUUCCAGACCCGCAGUCUCCCGUAGCGCAGAAGAAGUUCCCUGUUGAGCUGGUGGAGCAGAGAGACCUACCCCAAAAACGACCAGUCCAUGACAACGG
RNAcentral lists this small RNA (154 nucleotides) under Arabidopsis thaliana (thale cress). RNAcentral describes it as "ATSL283010". The record is from RNAcentral. Lineage: Eukaryota; Viridiplantae; Streptophyta; Magnoliopsida; Brassicales; Brassicaceae.